RNAcentral lists this ribosomal RNA (475 nucleotides) under Centipeda dianae. Its description in RNAcentral is "bacterial SSU rRNA". It matches the Rfam family "Bacterial small subunit ribosomal RNA", at positions 28 to 474 of the family's 1533-position model. The record is from RNAcentral. Lineage: Bacteria; Bacillati; Bacillota; Negativicutes; Selenomonadales; Selenomonadaceae.
GACGAACGCUGGCGGCGUGCUUAACACAUGCAAGUCGAACGGAGCGAAUGAAAGCUUGCUUUUAUGAGCUUAGUGGCAAACGGGUGAGUAACACGUAGACAACCUGCCGACAGGAUGGGGACAACAUUCCGAAAGGAAUGCUAAUACCGAAUGAAGCGGAGGAGAGGCAUCUCUCUUCCGUGAAAGAUGGCCUCUAUUUAUAAGCUAUCACCUGUCGAUGGGUCUGCGUCUGAUUAGCUGGUUGGUGAGGUAACGGCUCACCAAGGCGACGAUCAGUAGCCGGUCUGAGAGGAUGAACGGCCACAUUGGGACUGAGACACGGCCCAGACUCCUACGGGAGGCAGCAGUGGGGAAUCUUCCGCAAUGGGCGCAAGCCUGACGGAGCAACGCCGCGUGAGUGAAGAAGGUCUUCGGAUCGUAAAGCUCUGUUGACGGGGACGAACGUGCGAGAGGUGAAUAAACUCUUGCAAUGACG